This is a non-coding RNA of Theobroma cacao (cacao), 338 nucleotides long. Lineage: Eukaryota; Viridiplantae; Streptophyta; Magnoliopsida; Malvales; Malvaceae. The record is from RefSeq and is a predicted model, not a curated record.
UCAAGAGAAUAUUGGUGGAUUUCAAGGAAUUAAGCAAGUAAAGGUGAUGAAACUUUCGAUAAGGGUAAAGGGAUUGUACCCGAAGAUCGGGACUAGGAGUACUUCGACUCUCGAUAUUCUCAGGAUAGUUUGUAGAUAUUUGAUUUUAUCGAGGGCUACAGUUGGAUUUGCAUCCUCAAAAAUCGUAGGUUCGCAGCUUUCGUUACCUUUGAUCAUUCGGGGGCCCACAUGUCAUUGUAAAUUAAAUUACACACUCUGGUUCACUGUGUUAUUGUAUGAACGAAUUUAUUUUGCUUUUACACUACAAAAAUUAUUUACGGAUAACUCUAUAAAUAUUG